This 253-nucleotide ribosomal RNA is filed under the name uncultured bacterium. Its description in RNAcentral is "partial 16S ribosomal RNA". It matches the Rfam family "Bacterial small subunit ribosomal RNA", at positions 524 to 776 of the family's 1533-position model. The record is from RNAcentral.
UACGAAGGGGGCUAGCGUUGCUCGGAAUCACUGGGCGUAAAGCGCACGUAGGCGGAUCUUUAAGUCAGGGGUGAAGUCCUGGAGCUCAACUCCAGAACUGCCUUUGAUACUGGGGAUCUCGAGUCCGGGAGAGGUGAGUGGAACUCCGAGUGUAGAGGUGAAAUUCGUAGAUAUUCGGAAGAACACCAGUGGCGAAGGCGACUACCUGGCCUGUUCUUGACGCUGAGGCGCGAAAGCUAGGGGAGCAAACGGG